UACGUAGGGGGCAAGCGUUGUCCGGAUUUAUUGGGCGUAAAGAGCGUGUAGGCGGCUUGGUAGGUCUUGCGUCAAAACCUGAGGCUCAACCUCAGUUCGCGUGGGAAACCAUCUAGCUAGAGUCCGGAAGAGGAGAACGGAAUUCCCAGUGUAGCGGUGAAAUGCGUAGAUAUCGUGGAGAACACCCGUGGCGAAGGCGGGCUUCUGGCUAAUAACUGACGCUGAGGUGCGAAAGCUAGGGGAGCGAACGGG
Molecule: ribosomal RNA, 252 nt
Filed under: uncultured bacterium
Lineage: Bacteria
Description: partial 16S ribosomal RNA
Rfam family: Bacterial small subunit ribosomal RNA
Source: RNAcentral